GGGUUGUGAGGUUAAGCGACUAAGCGUACACGGUGGAUGCCCUGGCAGUCAGAGGCGAUGAAGGACGUGCUAAUCUGCGAUAAGCGUCGGUAAGGUGAUAUGAACCGUUAUAACCGGCGAUUUCCGAAUGGGGAAACCCAGUGUGAUUCGUCACACUAUCAUUAACUGAAUCCAUAGGUUAAUGAGGCGAACCGGGGGAACUGAAACAUCUAAGUACCCC
RNAcentral lists this ribosomal RNA (220 nucleotides) under Escherichia coli. RNAcentral's name for it is "partial 23S ribosomal RNA". It matches the Rfam family "Bacterial large subunit ribosomal RNA", at positions 1 to 212 of the family's 2925-position model. Lineage: Bacteria; Pseudomonadati; Pseudomonadota; Gammaproteobacteria; Enterobacterales; Enterobacteriaceae. The record is from RNAcentral.